This is a long non-coding RNA of Dermochelys coriacea (leatherback sea turtle), 862 nucleotides long. RefSeq lists it as uncharacterized. The record is from RefSeq and is a predicted model, not a curated record. Lineage: Eukaryota; Metazoa; Chordata; Testudines; Dermochelyidae. The transcript has 5 exons.
GCAGCAGCAACCGGCCCCUUUGGCUGUGCAGUGGAGCCGCACCAGGAUUGCUUCUUUCUGAAUAGUUGGCAAAUGGCUAGAGACUGGUUUGCUCUUUGCAUUACAGCAUCGAGGGCUUGUAGGUCACAAUCACACUGGUUAUUUCUUCAAGCUUUAUCAAACCCAGUAACCAAUUCCCUCUGGCGGCUGCAGCCCCCUGGUCUAUCCCUGCAUCUUGGAGUCCCACCUAGGGCUCUAGAGGUGAUCCUGGCAAUUACAGACAGCAUUAAUAAUAUUUACAGAACUGAUGCUGAGUCACACUUCCUUCAAUUGGCAAUUUGGGUUCAGAACUUUUGGGGUCCUGGGUAGAUACCAGCCCAUCAAUCUGACCAGCUGUGGCCAAUUAUCCUUUGGGUGUCACAAGAGAAUUCUCUAUGGCAUCAGGAGUUCAAGGUCACAGAUUCAUAGAUUCCCAGGCCAAAAGGGACCAUUGUGAUCUUCUUGUCUGACGUCCUGUAUAAUACAAUGCAUAGAAUUUCACCCAGGGAUUUCUACCUUGAUCCUAAUAGCUGUGGUUGAACUAGAUUAUAGUGAUGAGAACUAGAUAAGUUGUUCCAAUGGUUAACAAUCUUCUCUGAAAGUGUCCCCCUGUAAUAUCCAAGCCUUAACCGGGGGAUGCUCACAGAAAUUACAGAUUUUUCUCCCACCGACAAAACUGAUGGUUUUCAGUCAAAACCAGGAUCCAAUUUUUCAUGAAUAACCCAAGCCCUUCAAGGAUUUUCCUCAAUAAAUAGAGACCAAAAUGGCUUUCUGUCCCUUAGAUCUACUUGAGUAAACAAUAGGAAUACCCUCCAUUGUUUGUUCUGCAGUGUACUGACCCCAU